RNAcentral lists this long non-coding RNA (1592 nucleotides) under Canis lupus familiaris (dog). RNAcentral's name for it is "lncRNA (ENSCAFG00040004145.1)". Lineage: Eukaryota; Metazoa; Chordata; Mammalia; Carnivora; Canidae. The record is from RNAcentral.
GCAGAGACAGCCCUGCCCCUCCUCGGCCACCCUGCAGGCUGUGCCCAGCCGGCACUUCCUCCUCUUUCCUGGGAAACACUCCCGGCUUCCCGCUGCCGGGCGCCUCUCGGAGACGCUGUGGAGACAGCGAGCGGGACUCCUGCGCCCACGGGAUGCUCUCUGGAGUGCCGGGCAGGUGGUCCCUGGCGGGCGGGGGGCAUGGCCUGCCGGCCCACCCCGCUCCCCCUCCACACACACACCGUGCAGUGCCGGGGCUGGGGGAGUCCUUGCACACCUUCCAGCAUCAUGGCACAGAUGGAGAAACUGAGGCACAGAGAGGCUCCACGUUCCCAGGCCUCUUCUCUCCCUCCGCCCCCCACCACCGGGGCCAAACAUCCAGCCCCGUAAGUCCUCCAGGUGAAAACGGGCAUCCCGGCCACCGCCCUGCUGGGAAAUAAGCCUUCUGCGGAAGCACCCGCUGCACAUUUGCUAAAUUAAUGAAAAAGGAACUGCACGGGGUGAGUCGAUGCCCCGGCUCGGUGUGUCCGGAGUGGGGGCUCUCACAGCCGGCCUCCCCCUCUGUCAGACACCGGGGUGGCCGUGCCCUCCCCGGGGAGCAGGAUGCUCCUUUGUUCUGCGAGCUGGGUUUCCCAGGUGAGCGCCACCCCCUUCCCAGCAAAAGAGACAGGGGGUCUGCAUUGUCGCCCCGCACGGUGCCCGGCCCCCUGGAGGGGCUCGGCCGACCUGUGUUCAAUCCUCGGGACGAGACACAGGCUCGUUUUCCUCUUGGAAGAGCACGAAGGAGUUUCUAGAAACCACUGCGCUGGGGUGCCCUGGAGAGCCGCACGGGCGAGGCACCUAGGGGCCAGGGGUGGAGGUGCUGAGACUGAGCCCCGAGCUUUCUGUGCAGCCUCAGAUCCUGACGGAGACCCAACCCCGGAGGGGCAGGGGGCAGGGAGCAGCCGACGGCUGGACCUUUACUUGGUGUCGUCUGACCGCGGGGACUUGGCUGAUGUACGAGAAGCCCCUGCGAGAGAUGAGCCAGGCGUGGACGGGGACCUCGCUGGACCCCGCCGGACCCCAAUGAACCCCGCAGGACCCCACUGGACCCCGCUGGACCUCGCUGGAUCCCACUGGACCCCGCUGGGCCUGCGUGAGCCCGGGCGGCCAGACUGUUACGAGCUAACCCAAGUUGAGACUAACCUUUCAGCAGAACAGUUUGAGUUAAAAUAAAGGGAUUGAAAAAGAGUACAAUGACCAAAAAAAUCUAUAAAAAUGCAAUUGCGCUAAUAUAAUUUUAUCACUUAUUUAAAAAUUUAGUCGACCCAAAAGACUACCAAGUGUGAAAUUAAGGAACAGCUCCUCUACUUUUAUGGAAAUCACUCUUCCUCACUUGUCUAAUAGCCUGAUUUUGUCAGAUCAUUUAUUUCCAUGGUUUUAAAAUGAGCUUGACAGACAGAAUUUUAUAACACCACUUUACUGCAAAUAAGAACAUCAUUUUCGCUUAUUAAAACUGAAGCUUAGAGAAAGCAUUAAAAUUAACAGUUCACUCUGCUUUAACCUUUUGAAUCCUGCCGCGACGUUACGGGGAAGGCCGCGCGCGAGGGAGGCCG